Molecule: ribosomal RNA, 468 nt
Filed under: uncultured bacterium
Lineage: Bacteria
Description: partial 16S ribosomal RNA
Rfam family: Bacterial small subunit ribosomal RNA
Source: RNAcentral
GACGAACGCUGGCGGCGUGCUUAACACAUGCAAGUCGAACGGACAGGCCCUGCUUUUGUGUCGUGCUCGAGUGGCGAACGCGUGAGUAACACGUGAGUAACAUGCACUUGUCUUUGUGGUAACUCUACGGAAAAGGGGCUCAUACCGGAUAGGAUCUCCUGCAGCAUGGUGGGCAUUGGAAAGAUCCGGCGGUUGGGGAUGGUCUCGCGGGUUAUCAGCUUGAUUGUGGGGUAGUGGUUUCCAAAGGCUUUGACGGGUAGCCGGCCUGGGAGGUGUACCAGCCACAUGGGGACUGAGGUACGCACCAGUAUCCAACGUGCGGCAGUAGGGGGGAAUAUUGCAGAAUGGGCGGAAGCCUGAGGUAGCAACGCCGCGUUCGGAAUAACGGCCUUCGGGUGGUAAACAGCUUUGGACGUUGAUGAAGCGUGAGUGACGGUAAUGGGUAAAAAAGCACCGGCUAACUACGUG